CGAUUUUCAUUGAAAAACAGUGUGAGUUCGCGAUCACUGGAAUGUACAUAUGUGUACAAUCCGUCCACGGCUUUCCGCACCUCGGCUGUAGCCCAAUCACCCACUCUAGCAUGUACUCGGACAGAACAUAUUCAUUCCCCUUACUUAGGAGCUCGUGAUGCUCAAUAUCUACGAUACGAACAAACUCAGAGCUCAGGAUAACUCGACUAGGACUGUCAUAAGAUCUUGGGUAUCUUUGAGCCCGAUCGCGUAACAAUUCCAUAGCCAAGUCGAUAUG
RNAcentral lists this long non-coding RNA (277 nucleotides) under Olea europaea (common olive). Its description in RNAcentral is "long non-coding RNA (OEUR_LNC006922)". The record is from RNAcentral. Lineage: Eukaryota; Viridiplantae; Streptophyta; Magnoliopsida; Lamiales; Oleaceae.